This is a long non-coding RNA of Triticum aestivum (bread wheat), 1537 nucleotides long. RefSeq lists it as uncharacterized. The transcript has 2 exons. The record is from RefSeq and is a predicted model, not a curated record. NCBI's taxonomy places the organism in Eukaryota, Viridiplantae, Streptophyta, Magnoliopsida, Poales, Poaceae.
UUUCAUUCGGCCCUCGCAGGCCUCCUCGGGUUACCUUUGCCUAAAUCACCAUUUUCAUCAGAAACUUAAUUUGGAUCCAUCUCUUCUCCUCUCCCGUCGCCGCCGAACCCUAGCUAGCUAGCUACCUCAGAUCAGUCCAGCUGCGAGAGGCCACCGGCGGCAUGGCUGCGUGCGGCGGCGAGCAUAGCACGCGAUGCGACCGCUCUAAUCGGAUCCAAUCGAAUACCGCCGCACCGUCCGUCCCGCUCGCCGUGGCUGAUGGCCGCGUCCCUCCCCAAACGGCGGCGAUGAUGGAGGAGCCGCCUGGCGCCGGCCGGUCUCCCGAGCGGCGGGCGCGCCGGGUCGCCUCUCCUCGGGCCCAGCCCCUCCCGCCGCGCCGUCACGCAUCGGCUCGGGGGCCCCCCUCGGGAAUGCCGCCUGUGCGGGAGGCGUCCGCAGCGGCGCGGGCUGGGGACCGGGCGGCGGGGCCCGUGGUGCGCUCCGGUCGAGGGCUUGGUCGGGCCGGCGCGGGAUCUGAGCCGCCGUCGCAGCUUGGCUGCAUGUUGCUUUCGAUUCGAGGGAGUAUGUAUGUAUGGAUAUGAGGGUCAUCUUGCUUGGUGGGCAAAGGCCGGGGGUACAACCUCCUUUUCGGUAAAAAAUGAGGGGCGAUGAUGAUGACUGGCCUGUGGGUACUAAAUUAGAGCCCACCCUUACCUCCCUUGCAGCCUGUUCAAUUCAUCGGUAAUGUUGGAUGUUCUGCACCUUGGACGGUCAUUCUGAUGAGUGAUAACCAGGGCAGUUCUCUUACAUUGUGAUGGGUAGAUUAUGCAGCAAGAGAUGUGAGUGUUGGGUUUGAAGAUGAAAUGCAAAACUGAGCCCUCUUUUGCUUACGAUCCUUGUAUCCCCCCCCCCCCCCUCUCUCUCUCUCUCCCUUAAACAAAUCAGUCAAGCUUUCAUUGCCGACUCGCUGACCCAUCGUCCGGGUAGCUGCCAUGUCAGUUCCCGGUCUCUACGGUGCUGCCAGCCGCCGCCAGUCCAUUGCCUUGGAUUUGGUUGUGGCGUGGCUGGGAACCGUAAGGCGUUGUCUGAUGUGUCGUCCACACCAGGAGGUUUGGUCGGUCAAGGCCAGGUAUGAGCAGCUCCUGAGAUUGUCUAAGUUACUCACCACUAUGGCUAGUCUGAUGGAUGAAUGGAUGGAUGGAUGAUGGAUGUUAUGGUCAUGUUGCUUGGGGGGUUUGACCUUUUUUUUUUUAAAAAAAAAGGGCGAUGAUGAUGCCUGCGGCUGAAAUAAUUAUGUGUUGAGCAAUCAAGACAGCCGUGGCAUGUGGGUACUAAAUAGGCCCCAAAUGGGUGCCGGCGUUGGAGAUGCCCUUAAGAGCUCUCACCCUUACUUCUCUUGCAGCCUAUUCAAUUCAUGGCUAAUGUUGGAUGUUCUGCGCCUCGGAUGGUCAUUCUGAUGAGUGAUAACCAGGGCAGUUCAAUUACAUCGCGAUGGGUAGGUUAUGCAGCAAGAGACGUGAGUGUUGGGCUUCAAGAUAAAAGGCAAAACUGAGCCCUC